Molecule: non-coding RNA, 72 nt
Organism: Bos taurus (domestic cattle)
Lineage: Eukaryota; Metazoa; Chordata; Mammalia; Artiodactyla; Bovidae
Source: Rfam
UCCCGGGUAGCUCAGCUGGUAAAGAAUCUGCCUGCAGUGCAGGAGACCCCGGUUUGAUUCUGGGGUCGGGAA